UUUACGAUGUUUAACCAAGGUCACAGAAACCAGCACCAGCAAUCCAUCAUGGCAUUCAUCUGUGAUGAGAAGAGACCAGCCAGUUUCUUCCUGGAAAAGACCCUUCCAAUGAUGGUAGAAAGCGGGCUAGUUAGUCAAUACUUCUUACCCCCAAAUAAAACAUGGGAGCCUGCAUUAGCCACCCACAUACAAAGCAAGACUUCACCAAUUAAAGGUUCUACAUCCUUCUGAAACAGCAUCGUCAGCUAAGGACCAAAUAUACAAACAUCAAACAGAAAAGAAGAAGAAAUAGAAGCAACCAAGCUACUUUUGGGAGAUAGGAGUCAGCACACAGAAGUGACAACCUCCAACAAAUCAUGUAUCCUUUUUGAAUAACGCCAAUUUUGAUCCACAUGUUCCUUCAAACUGAAAUAGGACACAGCUUUCCCUACUACUGGGUCUCUGA
This is a long non-coding RNA of Mus musculus (house mouse), 445 nucleotides long. RefSeq annotates it as predicted gene, 54147. The transcript is spliced from 3 exons. The record is from RefSeq and is a predicted model, not a curated record. Lineage: Eukaryota; Metazoa; Chordata; Mammalia; Rodentia; Muridae.